GGGCCCGCACAAGCGGUGGAGCAUGUGGUUUAAUUCGAAGCAACGCGAAGAACCUUACCAGGUCUUGACAUCCUUUGACCACUCUAGAGAUAGAGCUUCCCCUUCGGGGGCAAAGUGACAGGUGGUGCAUGGUUGUCGUCAGCUCGUGUCGUGAGAUGUUGGGUUAAGUCCCGCAACGAGCGCAACCCUUAUUGUUAGUUGCCAUCAUUUAGUUGGGCACUCUAGUAAGACUAGCGGUGGACAACCGGAACGGAAGGUGGGG
Molecule: ribosomal RNA, 262 nt
Filed under: uncultured prokaryote
Description: partial 16S ribosomal RNA
Rfam family: Bacterial small subunit ribosomal RNA
Source: RNAcentral